GACGAACGCUGGCGGCGUGCUUAACACAUGCAAGUCGAACGGAAAGGCCCUGCUUUUGUGGGGUGCUCGAGUGGCGAACGGGUGAGUAACACGUGAGUAACCUGCCCUUGACUUUGGGAUAACUUCAGGAAACUGGGGCUAAUACCGGAUAGGAGCUCCUGCUGCAUGGUGGGGGUUGGAAAGUUUCGGCGGUUGGGGAUGGACUCGCGGCUUAUCAGCUUGUUGGUGGGGUAGCGGCUUACCAAGGCUUUGACGGGUAGCCGGCCUGAGAGGGUGACCGGCGACAAUGGGACUGAGAUACGGCCCAGACUCCUACGGGAGGCAGCAGUGGGGAAUAUUGCAGAAUGGGCGGAAGCCUGAGGCAGCAACGCCGCGUGCGGGAUGACGGCCUUCGGGUUGUAAACCGCUUUCGCCUGUGACGAAGCGUGAGUGACGGUAAUGGGUAAAGAAGCACCGGCUAACUACGUG
RNAcentral lists this ribosomal RNA (468 nucleotides) under uncultured bacterium. RNAcentral describes it as "partial 16S ribosomal RNA". It matches the Rfam family "Bacterial small subunit ribosomal RNA", at positions 28 to 507 of the family's 1533-position model. The record is from RNAcentral.